Molecule: long non-coding RNA, 2217 nt
Organism: Vicia villosa (hairy vetch)
Lineage: Eukaryota; Viridiplantae; Streptophyta; Magnoliopsida; Fabales; Fabaceae
Exons: 8
Source: RefSeq, a predicted model, not a curated record
ACCAAAUAAUAAUAAUUUAGAAAAGAAAAAAACUAAACACGUUCUCUUUCACAUACACUCAGAAAUACACCGCUAUCGAUAUAUCACGAAACACGAUCUUACAAAGAUUUCAAACUCAAUCUCGAUCUCGUCGAUUUCAAACUCAAUCUCGCCGAUCGCAAUCUCGAUCUCGCCGAUUUCUAACUCAAUCUCGCCGAUCACAAUCUCGAUCUCGCCGAUUUCAAUCUCAAUCUCGCCGAUCGCAAUCUCGAUCUCGCCGAUUUCAAUCUCAAUCUCGCCGAUCGCAAUCUCGAUCUCGAUAUCAAUCUCAAUAUCGCUACUGAUCACGACCUAGAUCUGACUCUUGUUACCGAUUUGUAUGGUUUGUUUUCUUCGAUUUCGCUUUCCAAUCUGCGUCACCCACCGAUCUGCGUAAAGUCUCCUAUCUUCACUAUGUUUUUUGGUUGAUUCAUGUUUAUCAAUAUUUUUCGCUUAAUCCUAUUUAUCGACAUGGCUCGACAGCUAUUUUCAGCAAUGCAUCUAUUUCUUCUAUAUGAUUUUGUUGGAAUUUAAUUAGGGUUUAACUUUAAUUGAUGUUAAUUAUAUUGUUGUUCAAUCAAAGAUUUCUGUAACGUUUGAGUGGGUAUGCGAUCAAAUCUUUGUUCACAUUGCUCAAUUCACAAGGCCAGACUACUCAUAUUGAUUAUCUCUACGCAUCAGAAAAACUGUGAGUAUUUCCAUCGUCUUCCAUAUCAGUAUAUCAACUAUUUUUGUUAUUUCGACUAUACGUUAAUUUGAUUAAUACAACAAGUGAAACUACAAAUUAGGAAGGGAGGGAGUACACAUUAGACUCAUCAAAUACAUUAUAUAAAAUGACAAAAUUAGUUGACAACAAACGAGAGUUUGUUGCGUCAGUGUGUUGAAUGAAUAUGCUAUAAAUGGAUUUAGAAUGUUGUGUUGUUUACAAUUUUUUGCUUUUCUCAUUGACAUGUACAGAGUUCCAAUGGAUUUGAAGACUGAAUCACCAGAUCUGAAGUCCUAAAUAGCUUUCUCUUUGGAACAAACACUAAGAUUCACUUGGUUUUGGAAUAUUUGUCUUAAUUUGAUGCUGUUUUGAUAUUAGUUCUUUCUUUUUUUUAUUUUAUUUUGAUGAUAAAGCAUAAUGCUUUGGUUAUGUUUCAAUUUUAAAUCUCUGUUCAUGUUUGUAAUAUUAAUUCUUCCAGGUUUCCAUAUGAAGAUGCCUUUUUUAACUCAGUUUGAGCAUGUCCAAGUGACACUUUAAGCCGACGAGGUGACAGAUAUACUAUGCGUAACAUUCCUCUACUUAAUUAUUUAUAACAACUCGACCGUGAUGUGAUACCAAGAUAUAUGAACAGUUGGCUUUGUAACUCGACCAACACCAGCUACUUUAUUAAGAGAUUAUUGGAUUAAAGCCUCUAAGAACUUGGUGUUGGCAAUCAUGGAAACACAAAAUACAGAGAGGUGGGACCCUUCGAUGUUCAUGCAAAUUGUGGAGAUGAUGUCGUUCUAUUUGACUCCUCCAGCCAAUGAGUUCUCACCGAUGAAUGGUGUGUCACCCUCGAGUUACUCCAACAUGGUUCUUCUUAUUACAUGUUUCAAGGAGGUUAAGCUGAACCAGCUAGCAGUUUCAAGGAGGUGAAGCUGAACCAGCUAGGUGUGCGAGAUUCAAAUUAAUAUAUAUACAGUAUAAAGGUGCUGUCAGGAUCUAGAAGAAGGUGGAGAUCUUCAUACUCUUAUUUUUGGUAAAUAACACAUUUGUUAUAGCUGUCAUAAGAUCAAAAGGAUGAGACUUGACUUUAGUAGCUUAAGCUUUAGCCAACUAUGAUCCAAAAGGUAAAGAAUUUUCUUCUCCUCAAGAAAAUGUUGAGAAGACGGAGGCAAGGCGGUUUGACUAAUGUGUUUAUUGGGCAUGUUGCCAAUGUUGGAGCCAAUUUUUUCAUUGAUUCGAUCCAUGCCAAAAGCACCCAUGCAAAGUGAAGUACCUGAAGAAACUCAUGGAGAUAUAAGGUGAAAGAAUGUUUUCCAAUCUAUUUUGGAAACCGGAGUUAAUAUAGAACCUGAGAUGUGACUUCUGAAUUGGAAAUAAAAUAGAAUAUUAUUGUAAUGUAUAAUGUUUUAGUAUUGUUAAAUAUAUUAAAAAAUUGAUUUUAGAAUAUUAUUGUGAUGUUUAAUGUUUCAGUGUUGUUAAAUAUAUUAAAAAAUUAAUUUUUUUGGUUA